CGGCGGACGGGUGAGUAACACGUGGGUAACCUGCCUGUAAGACUGGGAUAACUCCGGGAAACCGGGGCUAAUACCGGAUGGUUGUUUGAACCGCAUGGUUCAAACAUAAAAGGUGGCUUCGGCUACCACUUACAGAUGGACCCGCGGCGCAUUAGCUAGUUGGUGAGGUAACGGCUCACCAAGGCAACGAUGCGUAGCCGACCUGAGAGGGUGAUCGGCCACACUGGACUGAGCACACGGCCCAGACUCCUACGGGAGGCAGCAGUAGGGAAUCUUCCGCAAUGGACGAAAGUCUGACGGAGCAACGCCGCGUGAGUGAUGAAGGUUUUCGGAUCGUAAAGCUCUG
RNAcentral lists this ribosomal RNA (346 nucleotides) under Bacillus subtilis. RNAcentral's name for it is "bacterial SSU rRNA". It matches the Rfam family "Bacterial small subunit ribosomal RNA", at positions 96 to 435 of the family's 1533-position model. Lineage: Bacteria; Bacillati; Bacillota; Bacilli; Caryophanales; Bacillaceae. The record is from RNAcentral.